GGUGACAGGGUGACAUUGUGACAAGGUGAUGGGGUGACAUGGUGAUGGGGUGACAAGGUGCCAUGGUGGCAUGGUGACAAGGAUACAUGGUGACAAGGUGACAUGGUGACAAAGUGACAUGGUGACAUGGUGACAAGGAUACAUGGUGACAAGGUGACAUGGUGACAAAGUGACAUGGUGACAAGGUGACAUGGUGACAAGGAUACAUGGUGACAAGGUGACAUGGUGACAAAGUGACAUGGUGACAAGGUGACAUGGUGACAAGGAUACAUGGUGACAAGGUGACAUGGUGACAAAGUGACAUGGUGACAAGGUGACAUGGUGACAAGGAUACAUGGUGACAAGGUGACAUGGUGACAAGGUGCCACGGUGACAAGGUGACAUGGUGACAAAGUGACAUGGUGACAGGGUGACAGGGUGACAGAGUGACGUGGUGAUGGGGUGACAGGGUGCCGAGGUGCCAUGGUGACAGGUUGCCAUGGUGACAGGGUGA
Tympanuchus pallidicinctus (lesser prairie-chicken) is the source of this 493-nucleotide long non-coding RNA. RefSeq lists it as uncharacterized. NCBI's taxonomy places the organism in Eukaryota, Metazoa, Chordata, Aves, Galliformes, Phasianidae. The transcript is spliced from 4 exons. The record is from RefSeq and is a predicted model, not a curated record.